CCGGGUUGCGGACAGUGUCUGGUGGGUAGUUUGACUGGGGCGGUCUCCUCCUAAAGAGUAACGGAGGAGCACGAAGGUUGGCUAAUCCUGGUCGGACAUCAGGAGGUUAGGGCAAUGGCAUAAGCCAGCUUGACUGCGAGCGUGACGGCGCGAGCAGGUGCGAAAGCAGGUCAUAGUGAUCCGGUGGUUCUGAAUGGAAGGGCCAUCGCUCAACGGAUAAA
RNAcentral lists this ribosomal RNA (221 nucleotides) under Shigella flexneri. RNAcentral describes it as "partial 23S ribosomal RNA". It matches the Rfam family "Bacterial large subunit ribosomal RNA", at positions 2240 to 2460 of the family's 2925-position model. Lineage: Bacteria; Pseudomonadati; Pseudomonadota; Gammaproteobacteria; Enterobacterales; Enterobacteriaceae. The record is from RNAcentral.